ACGCUCGACACCUACGGGGGGCAGCAGUGGGGAAUAUUGCACAAUGGGGGAAACCCUGAUGCAGCAACGCCGCGUGAAGGAAGACGGUUUUCGGAUUGUAAACUUCUGUUCUUAGUGAAGAUAGUGACGGUAGCUAAGGAGCAAGCCACGGCUAACUACGUGCCAGCAGCCUCGGUAAUCUGAGCGGGCUGGCAAGGC
This 198-nucleotide ribosomal RNA is filed under the name uncultured bacterium. RNAcentral describes it as "partial 16S ribosomal RNA". It matches the Rfam family "Bacterial small subunit ribosomal RNA", at positions 328 to 539 of the family's 1533-position model. The record is from RNAcentral.